GCUUGAGUCCAAGAAUUGAAUUGAGUUCAAAUCUGAUCCGAGAAGUUAUCUCAAAAUUCAAGUUUAAGAUUUCACGAGAGGAAAUGGAAAUCCUUAAGUGAUUAUCUAAGGCAUGGGAGUUGCCGAGAAUGCGAAGUAAAGGAGACUUCACCCAGGAUGUCCGAGGUGUUUAGAUGGAUCUUACAUCCUCGGAAAAGUCAGAGAUGAUUGUGGUGGUCUAAAGAAAGUUCAAGGAUUCUUUUGGAAA
Molecule: long non-coding RNA, 247 nt
Filed under: Capsella grandiflora
Lineage: Eukaryota; Viridiplantae; Streptophyta; Magnoliopsida; Brassicales; Brassicaceae
Description: long non-coding RNA (CGRA_LNC000813)
Source: RNAcentral